GGCACCAUGGCCUAAUGGUAAGGCGUUGCUUUCCGGUGGCAAAGAGUGUGGGUUCGAGUCCCACUGGUGUCG
Molecule: transfer RNA, 72 nt
Filed under: Pyrenochaeta sp. MPI-SDFR-AT-0127
Lineage: Eukaryota; Fungi; Ascomycota; Dothideomycetes; Pleosporales; Cucurbitariaceae
Rfam family: tRNA
About the family: Transfer RNA (tRNA) molecules are approximately 80 nucleotides in length. Their secondary structure includes four short double-helical elements and three loops (D, anti-codon, and T loops).
Source: Rfam by way of RNAcentral